This 228-nucleotide long non-coding RNA is filed under the name Homo sapiens (human). Its description in RNAcentral is "LHRI_LNC248.1". The record is from RNAcentral. Lineage: Eukaryota; Metazoa; Chordata; Mammalia; Primates; Hominidae.
GGCAGUGCUGUUAAACCGGUUUGGCAACUGUAGCUAACAGGCUCCUGUUUUAGACAUGCUUGCAGGCGUUUUUAAAAACGGUAGCUUGGGGCAACUUAGAAAAAUCAAACAUCUCUAUUUUCUGUACCUUUUAGUUUCUUACCUGUUACAUAGGGCUAAGGAGGUAAAUAAGUUCAAACUCUUUCUUAGAGCCAGCCAAAGAGAUUCCGAUAUGUACUUGCAACACUG